Molecule: ribosomal RNA, 245 nt
Filed under: uncultured bacterium
Lineage: Bacteria
Description: partial 16S ribosomal RNA
Rfam family: Bacterial small subunit ribosomal RNA
Source: RNAcentral
UAACACGUGGGUAACCUGCCUUAUAGUGGGGGANAGCCUUUCGAAAGGAAGAUUAAUACCGCAUAAGAUUGUAGUAUCGCAUGAUAUAGCAAUUAAAGGAGCAAUCGCUAUAAGAUGGACCCGCGUCGCAUUAGCUAGUUGGUGAGGUAAUGGCUCACCAAGGCGACGAUGCGUAGCCGACCUGAGAGGGUGAUCGGCCACAUUGGGACUGAGACACGGCCCAGACUCCUACGGGAGGCAGCAUG